AGGACGAACGCUGGCGGCGUGCCUAACACAUGCAAGUGGAGCGACGAACCAGGCUUCGGCCUGGGGCAGAGCCGCGAACGGGUGAGUAACACGUGGGUAACCUGCCCUGAUGAUUGGGACAACCCGAGGAAACUCGGGCUAAUACCGAAUGUGCCCUCCGGCCUCAAGGCCGUUGGGGAAAGGAAGCUUCGGCCUCCGCAUCGGGAUGGGCCCGCGGCCCAUUAGCUAGUUGGUGGGGUAAAGGCCUACCAAGGCGACGAUGGGUAGCUGGUCUGAGAGGACGAUCAGCCACACUGGGACUGAGACACGGCCCAGACUCCUACGGGAGGCAGCAGUAGGGAAUCUUGCGCAAUGCGCGAAAGCGUGACGCAGCAACGCCGCGUGGGGAAGAAGGCCCUCGGGUUGUAAACCCCUUUCAGUUGGGACGAAGCUUCGUCGGUUAAUAGCCGACUGGAGUGACGGUACCUUCACAAGAAGCACCGGCUAACUACGUGCCAGCAGCCGC
This 505-nucleotide ribosomal RNA is filed under the name uncultured bacterium. RNAcentral describes it as "SSU rRNA". It matches the Rfam family "Bacterial small subunit ribosomal RNA", at positions 26 to 518 of the family's 1533-position model. The record is from RNAcentral.